UCCUACGGGGCGCAGCAGUGGGGGAUAUUGCACAAUGGGGGAAACCCUGAUGCAGCGACACCGCGUGGGUGAAGAAGCGCUUCGGCGUGUAAAGCCCUAUCAGUGGGGAAGAAAAAGGACGGUACCCAAAGAAGAAGCACCGGCUAAAUACGUGCCAGCAGCCGCGGUAAUACGUAGGGGGCAAGCGUUAUCCGGAUUUACUGGGUGUAAAGGGAGCGUAGACGGCCAGACAAGUCUGAAGUGAAAAUCCAGCGCUUAACGUUGGAAGUGCUUUGGAAACUGCCGGGCUGGAGUGCAGGAGGGGG
RNAcentral lists this ribosomal RNA (305 nucleotides) under uncultured bacterium. RNAcentral's name for it is "bacterial SSU rRNA". It matches the Rfam family "Bacterial small subunit ribosomal RNA", at positions 337 to 658 of the family's 1533-position model. The record is from RNAcentral.